UUUAUGGAGAGUUUGAUCCUGGCUCAGGAUGAACGCUGGCGGCGUGCCUAAUACAUGCAAGUCGAGCGAACGGACGAGAAGCUUGCUUCUCUGAUGUUAGCGGCGGACGGGUGAGUAACACGUGGAUAACCUACCUAUAAGACUGGGAUAACUUCGGGAAACCGGAGCUAAUACCGGAUAAUAUUUUGAACCGCAUGGUUCAAAAGUGAAAGACGGUCUUGCUGUCACUUAUAGAUGGAUCCGCGCUGCAUUAGCUAGUUGGUAAGGUAACGGCUUACCAAGGCAACGAUGCAUAGCCGACCUGAGAGGGUGA
RNAcentral lists this ribosomal RNA (313 nucleotides) under Staphylococcus aureus. RNAcentral's name for it is "bacterial SSU rRNA". It matches the Rfam family "Bacterial small subunit ribosomal RNA", at positions 1 to 303 of the family's 1533-position model. The record is from RNAcentral. Lineage: Bacteria; Bacillati; Bacillota; Bacilli; Caryophanales; Staphylococcaceae.